UUUUUUUAUUUUUGGCCAUCCUGUGAAGUUCCUGCUGAGCCGGGGAUCCAAGCCACAGUUGCUACCUAUGCCACAUCUGUGGCAACGCUGGAUCCUUUAACCCAAUGGGCUGGCAGGGGAUUGAACCUGCGUCCUGGCACCGCACAGAUGCUGCUGAUCCCGUUGCACCACAGCAGGAACUCCUGUCACCUCUUUUUUUCCUCCUUCUAACUUAGACUGGAGGGGUCCUGUAUCUCCAUCUGAGUCCACCCCCGCCACCCGCACAAGUCUGGCCCAGAGGUACAGUCAGCAGCCCCAGGAUGAGCAGAACUUCUGGCCCAGGCUGGUGCAGGGACCAGAUCUGCACCUGUGCCCUGGCCUCGCCGACCCCCUGGGAGUCCUUCCCCUCAGUCCCCGCCUGGCUCAAGUCUCCCCCUUCAGGGUCCAGCUUCAAGGCUUCUCCAGCCAGCAAAGACCUUGUCUGCCCCUCCUGAGUCUGGGCCUGCAUCCGGCCCACCUCUGUGUCUGCAGCACCAGCUCCAGGCCCAGAGGCGAUGCACAGAGAGCAUUUGCUAAAAAAACUGAAAGAGCAAAUACUGCAAAAGCUCCUUGCCAUUCUAGCUGCUUCUUGAACAAACAGGAUUCAUUAUUUUAAUAAAUACGGGAUGCUCGGCUCAGGAAAUGGGGACAGCUUGGCGAGACGCUCAUUAAAGUUGCAAGCACAGAUUUCCAUGGAAAGCAGCUCCUGGCCUCCUCUGUGAAGUCUCUCUGGGCCACCGUGGCAGGAAACGGGGCGGCCUGCAGCUGGGGACGCAGCCCUUCCUCCCAGCCAGGCUGACUGGAGGUGUCGCAAAUAAGCCCGCCGCCCCAUUUUCUCCAAAUAACACCUGUCAGGAAUGUUGAUCUCAUGUCCCGGCCCCCGACCCUGCCCACGUCUGAAUGCUGGAUCCUGGCGUCAGGCACCGAUGCAAACCUCCCCUUCUGGAAGAAAGCUGGAGCUUCCUGGAGACCAGAGGUUUGAGGCCAAAGCUGGGCAGGUGCAGUCUGGCAAAAAGGAAAGGACUACAUCGGUGCCAGGAAGCCACUUUCCAAGUCACGGCGGCUCUCCGUGUGCCCCCCCAGCCCAGCAUCUCCAGGGCUUGCCCUGCCCUCCCAUCCUUAGUGGGGGAGGGGACGACCCCCGAGAACAGUGAAGAGUAGGGGGAUGCAGAGGGGUCCGCUGGCUUUCUGGGGGUGCCCCUUAGAGGAGGGGACCAGGAUGGGUAUUCAGUGGUGACCAGCAAGCCCCAGCUGUGGGCGUGGUCAGAUCUGAGUCUCAGAGCACCUGCAGUGCCUGGAGCUGGGCCAUCCCCACCCCCGUGGUGGAGAGGCACGUUGGGUGCCCUCCACCUGCUGCUGUUUAUGGGCCCAUAAAUCGGAACUCCACAGGAGGCAGGCCACUCCCAACCCAUUACUCACUGCCACCCCUCCACAGCCACUGAAGCCCCAAAUAAUGAAUUUCCCUGCGCCCCCUGGCCGGCUUUAUCAGUAACACCCAAGACCAGGCAAUUAGCAUUUAGAAGCAGGGCUGGAAGGGGUUGGGGGGGCUGGUCUCAUCACUGUAGCAGCAGAUUGAGCCUCUCCCUCUGGAAUCAGGCUGUUUGCCCUGGUUCCUGCAGGCAGAGCUGGAGAACAAAGCACCUUGUCCUCUGUUAACUGAUCACCCCAAUUGUCUUUAAAAGCUGCAUCCAUCAGGGGGGGAACAGGAAGUUCCAGGGUGGCUGCAAUCCAUCCUGAGGCUCAGAAAGGACAAUUUACUUGGGCUGAGCGCAGUUAAACGGUGCCUCGCUGUUUGAGAUGCUCUGUGUCAUAGAUCACCCAGCCUCCCCUGGACCGCUGUGCGGGGGCAGAGUGGAGGGUCCUGUCCCCCACGAGGUGGGCUUGAGCAAGUCAAAGUGACCUUGAAGAGCCUUUAAAAAUCUCCGUAAAUGGAGACGCAUCCUGUCGCGUGUGCAGGACACACACGUCUCACAAAUGGACCAUUACACGUCUACACCACGUAUCCGUGUCCAUGUGCUAUGGACAUGCACGAUACGGUGUCCAGAGGCACACGUGCCCACGUGUGGCACACACAGUGAUGCUCAGGUUGAAAACAGAACUUCACAGCAUUGGUUCCUUAAGCUCCAGCCUCACACUCAGCAGGUGGGGGCUCCCAGCGUGGCAGUCACCUGGGGAGGCUCUGAGGACAGAGGCUUGGGUGGGCACCCUGGGGCCGUGGUGGGCAGAACUUUGAGGUGCCGCACGUGCUCUCCGCACCCCCACCCCUUCCCACCAGCACACACUGGAGCCCCUGGGGCUUAGACACAUGAGUAGAGCCACGGCCUGGAUCGUCCCUCUUCUACCCGUCCUGCAGAGGAGUCAGCUGAGACAGGCUGCCCAAGGCCACCCAGGUGGCGACCUAACCCAGGACUCCACGUCUGCUCCUCGCCCAGCUCCCAGCUCCCCUCCGCGACCACACGCUUCCCUCGGUGGCCUCUGGGGUCAGCUGGAUCUGGAGGCACUAGGCAGAGGAAACAGGGGGUGGACGGCCAGGAUCUGAGGGCACGCUUCCCACCAGAAAGUAGUGGUGAAGAAAGAACGAAAUCCUGCCGUUUGCAGCAACAUGGAUGGACCUAGAGAUUAUCAUACGGAGUGAAGAAAGUCAGACAGAGAAGAACAAAGACCAUACGAGGUCACUUAUGUGUGGCACCUAAGAAAAUAACAUACGUGAACUUACAAAACAGAAAUAGACUCGCAGACAUGGAAGACAAACGUAUGGUUAUCAAGAGAAAGAGGAGGGGGUAAAUUAGGAGGCUGGGUUAACACAC
Molecule: long non-coding RNA, 2825 nt
Filed under: Sus scrofa (pig)
Lineage: Eukaryota; Metazoa; Chordata; Mammalia; Artiodactyla; Suidae
Description: lncRNA (ENSSSCG00060040227.1)
Source: RNAcentral